UGUUGCAUCAUCGUCUCAACCGAUUGCAAGAUCUCAAAAGUGUAGGUAGAUAACCUCCUCGAGUUCUUGUGAUUCUGACAAUGGCUUCUCGCGCUGUAGUGUCGAAGUUGUUUGCAAGAAGGGUCAGUUCGGUAUCCCGCCGUUCCCUUUCUAGUUUCCCUGACUAU
This 167-nucleotide non-coding RNA is filed under the name Cylindrotheca closterium. Lineage: Eukaryota; Bacillariophyta; Bacillariophyceae; Bacillariales; Bacillariaceae. The record is from RNAcentral.